GGGGGAAUAAAGAAUGGGAGGAAGAGAGAAAAGAAGAGGUAGAGGGGGAGAGGAGGAGGAGGAUAAGUGGAAAGAGCCUACUGCCAGCCACAGAAGUGGCCCAUACCUGAGCCAGGGGAGCCCUAGAUGCCGCCUCCCCCGACCUCCCUUUCCCAGACCCUCGAGGCUCCGCCCCAGAGGCGGGGCGGCCGAGCUCAGGGGCGGGGCUGGCGAGUGCCUAAAGGGAGCGGGACAGAGCCUUUCACUUCUGUCCCUGGGGGCCGGCCAGCCGGGGCGGGGCUGGGCGGAGCGUCGAUUCCGUAAGGCGCUCCCGGGGCCCCCGAGCCGAGCCGGCGGCGCCCUCCCGCCCAACGGCCUGUCAACAGUCGCGGGGGUCCGGGAGGGAAGACUCGGAAGCGGGCGAGGCCGUGAGUGCGUCCCGGAUCCCCUCCCAGCUGGGCGGCCAGACUUGGCCCCGGGGAGGGGGCGGGAUGUGCUCCGCCGGGGAGCUGCUGCGCGGCGCGGGCGGCGACGGGGAGCCGGACGAGGACGAGGACGGAGCCGACUCUGGGUUGGAGGGGCCGGAGCCGGGGCCGGGGCCGGAGCUUACGAAGCCGGAGGAGCAGGACAGCGGCCAGAGCCUGCUCGCGGGGCAACAGCCCCAGCAGCAGCAGCCGAGGAGGCGCGGGCGUCCCCGGCAGCCGCAGCCGCAGCCGCAGCAGCAGCAGCAGCAGCAGCGUGGUCCUGGAGGAGGCGGCCAGGAGCAGCCGGAGCAGGACAUAGAAGAAUCACAAAAUCAUAGUGUGGAACCUGUUAUAGAUGACUACAAAAAGAUGGGAACCCUUUUUGGUGAACUGAACAAAAGCCUAAUCAACAUGGGCUUCACAAGGAUGUAUUUCGGAGAACGGAUUGUGGAGCCAGUCAUAGUCAUUUUCUUUUGGUUUAUGCUCUGGUUUCUUGGCCUACAAGCCCUUGGACUAGUCGCUGUUCUUUGCAUUGUCAUUAUUUAUGUACAAGAAUAAAACAUAGCUGACCCAUGUGUGGUUUGACA
This 1030-nucleotide long non-coding RNA is filed under the name Phascolarctos cinereus (koala). RNAcentral's name for it is "lncRNA (ENSPCIG00000030087.2)". The record is from RNAcentral. Lineage: Eukaryota; Metazoa; Chordata; Mammalia; Diprotodontia; Phascolarctidae.